GUGGUGCUGGGUGAGAUGCGCAUUAAAUGUUUGAGGAAACAAUCGCUUCACCACAGGGCCGGUGGCAGGUGCUGAUGGAAGGAGUCUUCUCAGUGAACAUGCACGGUGAGUGGGAUGGCUGUUUGUGGACUGAGGAGGGUGGGGGAGACCAGCAGAGAAGAGGCCCCUGGAGGGGAGGGGAGGGCAGGCCAGGCAUUUCUCCUGACAGGUGCCCCUCCCUGCGGC
Molecule: long non-coding RNA, 225 nt
Filed under: Mustela putorius furo (domestic ferret)
Lineage: Eukaryota; Metazoa; Chordata; Mammalia; Carnivora; Mustelidae
Description: lncRNA (ENSMPUG00000030775.1)
Source: RNAcentral